UUUUAUAAUAGAGAAAACACAGGGGGCAAAUUGAAAAGAGUCAGGGUGAUAUCGUUACAGACAAGGAUGUUAUCAUUUGUCGUUCAUGGUUGAAUGAUGUGAAACAUAUGUUACGCUGAUACAGACAGAGCCGCAGCAUCGGCAUUGCAAAUCUUGCUAUCACAUUUGCUAGGAGAUGCUGGCAGUCCUUAUAUUGUGGGUUUGACUCAGUACAGAAAUCGUGUGACUCAAUCAAUGGCUGCAGUUGCGUGUGUCAAGGAAGGGCUGAGAUUCUGGUAUGAAGACCAACUGGAAAUACUUCGUGGAUUUUGAGAUUACAAAAUCGGCUAAACUCGAUGAAACACAAACUUCACGACCAGCUGUUGGAGAGACAGAGAUGUAAGAAAGUUUAAUUCCAAAACAAUUCUUUGAUGAUUUAUCGGCCGAACUCAUUAAAGAAGGAGCCAGACAACACCUUGAAACUACAACAGAACUUCUUAGCAAGAGCGCAGACAGCGAUAAAUUGAUUGUAGAUCUUGUCAAAGAUCGUCUUGCAUCUCGUAGAGAGGAUGAGGAAACUAAUAUUGAAGAUACCCGGAAUAAUGUUGAAAUGAAAAUCGAACUCAAGGAACAAUGCAGAACAAAAGGUGCUGCUCACAUAACAGGGCGGAUCUUCACCCUCGUCAAUUUUAUUACAAGAUUCCGGUCAAAAGUUGAAUCUUGGUUCGUCGUUUGUUCAACGAACUCGAUAUUCGAGUCGUAGUCUGAGAGAUGGACCAAGCACUUUUAUACUUCUUGAUGUCGUACCAGAUUCCAAAGACAGUGUUUUAUACAAGGAAGAAACUGAAGGCAAGCGAAAUUACCCUUUCAAUAUGGUGAAAUUCAAAAUGGCGGUGCAACAGAGAUGACGCCAUGUGGAUCUCGUAGUUUUCACCUUUGUGAGCAAGCUGGUCGUGCUGUGUGUUCAAACAUGAAGAUGAAGCCGAUUUCGAGGGAAUCUUUCAACGUGCUAGCCAGUAAAGAUUUGUGUUGGAUAUGUUCCUGUUUCUUCAGAAGCCAAGGCUUCCUAGUGGCCACGUUGCAUUUUGAGGUAUAUACUUUGAUGAUUGGAAUUUACCCUCUUCGAUAGCCAAGCAGGUGAGAAAGAUCAUUGUUAAGUUUUAUCUGACUCCAGGAUGUAUUUGAUAUGUUAUGCUGGUAGGUGAUUUUAACUGAUAGAAUUAUGCAGUAUAAAUAUAGUUAGUUUGUGUAGGUUUCUUGCUGUAGUAAACACUGAAUCAAUAGGAGAUGAUCCAGUAUGCCAUUCCUGGCUUCAAAAUAUAUUGUUCUUUCUUAUUUUAAGUUAAAUAUGUAUUUCUGAAAUUAUAUAAAUUUAUUAU
Molecule: long non-coding RNA, 1358 nt
Organism: Dendronephthya gigantea
Lineage: Eukaryota; Metazoa; Cnidaria; Anthozoa; Malacalcyonacea; Nephtheidae
Exons: 11
Source: RefSeq, a predicted model, not a curated record